RNAcentral lists this ribosomal RNA (468 nucleotides) under uncultured bacterium. Its description in RNAcentral is "partial 16S ribosomal RNA". It matches the Rfam family "Bacterial small subunit ribosomal RNA", at positions 28 to 507 of the family's 1533-position model. The record is from RNAcentral.
GACGAACGCUGGCGGCGUGCUUAACACAUGCAAGUCGAACGGAAAGGCCCUGCUUUUGUGGGGUGCUCGAGUGGCGAACGGGUGAGUAACACGUGAGUAACCUGCCCUUGACUUUGGGAUAACUUCGGGAAACCGGGGCUAAUACCGGAUAGGAGCUCCUGCUGCAUGGUGGGGGUUGGAAAGUUUCGGCGGUUGGGGAUGGCCUCGCGGCUUAUCAGCUUGUUGGUGGGGUAGUGGCUUACCAAGGCUUUGACGGGUAGCCGACCUGAGAGGGUGACCGGCCACAUUGGGACUGAGAUACGGCCCAGACUCCUACGGGAGGCAGCAGUGGGGAAUAUUGCACAAUGGGCGGAAGCCUGAUGCAGCAACGCCGCGUGCGGGAUGACGGCCUUCGGGUUGUAAACCGCUUUCGCCUGUGACGAAGCGUGAGUGACGGUAAUGGGUAAAGAAGCACCGGCUAACUACGUG